Molecule: transfer RNA, 64 nt
Filed under: Halyzia sedecimguttata (orange ladybird)
Lineage: Eukaryota; Metazoa; Arthropoda; Insecta; Coleoptera; Coccinellidae
Description: tRNA-Phe
Source: RNAcentral
ACUUAAAUAGCUUAUAAGAGCGUGAUAUUGAAGAUAUCAAGGAAAUUUUUAAAAUUUUUAAGUA